GAUGAACGCUGGCGGCGUGCCUAAUACAUGCAAGUCGAACGCAUUUUCUUUCACCGUAGCUUGCUACACCGAAAGAAAAAGAGUGGCGUACCGGGGAGUAACACUUGGUUAACCUCCCCAUCAGCGGGGGAAAACACUUGGAAACAGCUGCUAAUAUCGCAUAAUUCCAUUUCCCGCAUGGUAGAUGGAUGAACGGCGCUCUUGCGUCACUGACCGAUGGACCCGCGGUGCAUUAGCAAGUUGGUGGGGUAACGGCCUACCAAGGCUGCGAUGCAUAGCCGGCCUGGGGGGGUGGUCGGCCAAUCGGGGACCGAGACACGGCCCAGACGCCUUCGGGGGGCAGCAGGAGGGAAUCUUCGGCAAUGGGCAAAAGUCUGGCCGUGCAACGCCGCGUGAGUGAAGAAGGUUGUCGGAUCCGAAAACCCUGUUGUUAGGGAAGAACAAGAAUCAGAGUGGAAGGUACAGUCCUUGACGGUAUCUAACCAGAAAGCCACGGCUAACUACGUG
RNAcentral lists this ribosomal RNA (507 nucleotides) under uncultured bacterium. RNAcentral describes it as "partial 16S ribosomal RNA". It matches the Rfam family "Bacterial small subunit ribosomal RNA", at positions 28 to 507 of the family's 1533-position model. The record is from RNAcentral.